UCUGGAAACCAUAGAGCUGUGGCACCACCUGAUCCCAUUCCGAACUCAGAAGUGAAACACAGUAUCGCCGAUGGUAGUAUGGGGUCUCCCCAUGUGAGAGUAGGUCAUUUCCAGGC
RNAcentral lists this ribosomal RNA (116 nucleotides) under Shewanella denitrificans. The record is from RNAcentral. RNAcentral also lists the same sequence under 1 other name. Lineage: Bacteria; Pseudomonadati; Pseudomonadota; Gammaproteobacteria; Alteromonadales; Shewanellaceae.